This 402-nucleotide ribosomal RNA is filed under the name uncultured bacterium. RNAcentral describes it as "bacterial SSU rRNA". It matches the Rfam family "Bacterial small subunit ribosomal RNA", at positions 355 to 775 of the family's 1533-position model. The record is from RNAcentral.
UGGGGAAUAUUGCACAAUGGGCGAAAGCCUGAUGCAGCAACGCCGCGUGAGCGAUGAAGGCCUUCGGGUCGUAAAGCUCUGUCCUCAAGGAAGAUAAUGACGGUACUUGAGGAGGAAGCCCCGGCUAACUACGUGCCAGCAGCCGCGGUAAUACGUAGGGGGCUAGCGUUAUCCGGAAUUACUGGGCGUAAAGGGUGCGUAGGCGGUCUUUCAAGUCAGGAGUGAAAGGCUACGGCUCAACCGUAGUAAGCUUUUGAAACUGUCUGACUUGAGUGCAGGAGAGGAGAGCGGAAUUCCUGGUGUAGCGGUGAAAUGCGUAGAUAUUGGGAGGAACACCAGUUGCGAAGGCGGCUUUCUGGACUGUAACUGACGCUGAGGCACGAAAGCGUGGGGAGCAAACAG